RNAcentral lists this ribosomal RNA (468 nucleotides) under uncultured bacterium. RNAcentral's name for it is "partial 16S ribosomal RNA". It matches the Rfam family "Bacterial small subunit ribosomal RNA", at positions 28 to 507 of the family's 1533-position model. The record is from RNAcentral.
GACGAACGCUGGCGGCGUGCUUAACACAUGCAAGUCGAACGGAAAGGCCCUGCUUUUGCGGGGUGCUCGAGUGGCGAACGGGUGAGUAACACGUGAGUAACCUGCCCUUGACUUUGGGAUAACUUCAGGAAACUGGGGCUAAUACCGGAUAGGAGCUCCUGCUGCAUGGUGGGGGUUGGAAAGUUUCGGCGGUUGGGGAUGGACUCGCGGCUUAUCAGCUUGUUGGUGGGGUAGUGGCUUACCAAGGCUUUGACGGGUAGCCGGCCUGAGAGGGUGACCGGCCACAUUGGGACUGAGAUACGGCCCAGACUCCUACGGGAGGCAGCAGUGGGGAAUAUUGCACAAUGGGCGGAAGCCUGAUGCAGCAGCGCCGCGUGCGGGAUGACGGCCUUCGGGUUGUAAACCGCUUUCGCCUGUGACGAAGCGUGAGUGACGGUAAUGGGUAAAGAAGCACCGGCUAACUACGUG